GGGUCUAUAACUCAGUGGUAGAGUUCCUGUCUUACAAACAGGGUGUCAUUGGUUCAAGUCCAAUUAGGCCCA
Molecule: transfer RNA, 72 nt
Filed under: Letrouitia transgressa
Lineage: Eukaryota; Fungi; Ascomycota; Lecanoromycetes; Teloschistales; Letrouitiaceae
Also listed under: 1 other name
Description: tRNA-Val
Rfam family: tRNA
About the family: Transfer RNA (tRNA) molecules are approximately 80 nucleotides in length.
Source: RNAcentral